UACGGGGGGGGCAAGCGUUGUUCGGAAUUACUGGGCGUAAAGGGCUCGUAGGCGGCCAACUAAGUCAUACGUGAAAUCCCUCGGCUUAACCGGGGAACUGCGUCUGAUACUGGAUGGCUUGAGUUCGGGAGAGGGAUGCGGAAUUCCAGGUGUAGCGGUGAAAUGCGUAGAUAUCUGGAGGAACACCUGAGGUGAAGACGGGUUGCUGGGCUGACACUGACGCUGAGGCGCGAAAGCUAGGGUAGCAAACGGG
RNAcentral lists this ribosomal RNA (253 nucleotides) under uncultured bacterium. RNAcentral's name for it is "partial 16S ribosomal RNA". It matches the Rfam family "Bacterial small subunit ribosomal RNA", at positions 524 to 776 of the family's 1533-position model. The record is from RNAcentral.